AGCGGCCGAUAUCUGAUUAGCUAGUUGGUAGGGUAAAAGCCUACCAAGGCAUCGAUCAGUAGCUGGUCUGAGAGGACGACCAGCCACACUGGAACUGAGACACGGUCCAGACUCCUACGGGAGGCAGCAGUGGGGAAUUUUGGACAAUGGGCGAAAGCCUGAUCCAGAAAGGCCGCGUGAGUGAAGAAGGCCUUCGGGUUGUAAAUUUAAGGGGUCAGGGAAGAAACGGUGAAAGCUAAUAUCUUUGCUAAUGAC
Molecule: ribosomal RNA, 255 nt
Filed under: uncultured bacterium
Lineage: Bacteria
Description: partial 16S ribosomal RNA
Rfam family: Bacterial small subunit ribosomal RNA
Source: RNAcentral